Molecule: long non-coding RNA, 853 nt
Filed under: Homo sapiens (human)
Lineage: Eukaryota; Metazoa; Chordata; Mammalia; Primates; Hominidae
Description: HSALNT0360474
Source: RNAcentral
UCCUGGGGACUGUUUUAUCUGAAGCCAGGCACUCCAGACGACAACACAGUCUUUAGUGGUGAAACAGAAAGCGGCUCCAGCAGCAAGCAACACACCCAGCGUUCCAGCGAGCUGUGUGAAGCGCUAACAAGAGGCUGGCCUGGCAUCCUGGCCAGAGGGACUGCAGAGGCAGCCCAGGCCAGGACGGUGCCCUGCACCACCUCCAUCAGAACCCCCAGAGCUUGCUCAACAGCAGACCGACACCCAGGCGGCACCCCAGACCUUCAGAAUCUCCUAAAGAGAUCCUGAGGCCCAGAUUUACCUGAGGACACACAGCAAGCUAGUGAUGGCCAGGACUAACCCUGCUCUGCUGCCUUUAACCAAUAUUUAAAGUCAGGCCAUAUACAUCCCAAUGGCCCCAAGCCCAUGAGUCCUGAAGACACUUUACCGCUUUUCAGCACCUCUUAGGUGAAAUUUCCAACUGCCCAGAAGCUGCCUGGUGGAUGCCUGCUACCCAUCUGAAGUUCACCUAAAGGAUUUACGAGUUUCUGCCCUACAAGUUUGAUGCAAAGUUCAUGCUGAGAGGCACCUUAGGAAACACGAAGCACGGUGUGUGCAUGUGUGUUCUAAAUAGUAGAGUUUCCAGGAGGGCUUCCAUCAGCACCGAGUGUUUACGAGAGACUGCCACAGCGGUGUGGUAGACAUACCUGCUCCUGCUGCCAACACGAUUUGCUAGUGUAAUUAACAUUCAGGCUGAAACUGGAGAAGGCAGUUCAACUCACAAAGACUAUUUUUAGAGACCUCUUAAUGGAAAACUCUGUUCCUUUCAAACCACACAGCUUUCUGUAAUUAGAAGAGAGACUAUUAUUCAAGU